This 257-nucleotide ribosomal RNA is filed under the name uncultured prokaryote. Its description in RNAcentral is "partial 16S ribosomal RNA". It matches the Rfam family "Bacterial small subunit ribosomal RNA", at positions 521 to 777 of the family's 1533-position model. The record is from RNAcentral.
UAAUACAGAGGGAGCGAGCGUUGUUCGGAAUUACUGGGCGUAAAGGGCGCGUAGGCGGUCCGAUAAGUCCCGUGUGAAAUCCCUCGGCUCAACUGAGGAAUGGCACGGGAAACUGACGGGCUUGAGUUCGGGAGAGGGAAGCGGAAUUCCGGGUGUAGCGGUGAAAUGCGUAGAUAUCCGGAGGAACACCGGUGGCGAAGGCGGCUUCCUGGACCGACACUGACGCUGAGGCGCGAAAGCUAGGGGAGCAAACGGGA